CGCGUAGGUGGUUUGUUAAGUUGGAUGUGAAAGCCCCGGGCUCAACCUAGGAAUAGCAUUUCGAACUGGCGAACUAGAGUCUUGUAGAGGGGGUAGAAUUCCAGGUGUAGCGGUGAAAUGCGUAGAGAUCUGGAGGAAUACCGGUGGCGAAGGCGGCCCCCUGGACAAAGACUGACGCUCAUGCACGAAAGCGUGGGGAGCAAACA
RNAcentral lists this ribosomal RNA (206 nucleotides) under uncultured bacterium. RNAcentral's name for it is "partial 16S ribosomal RNA". It matches the Rfam family "Bacterial small subunit ribosomal RNA", at positions 568 to 774 of the family's 1533-position model. The record is from RNAcentral.